GGGUAGAGUAAUGCGUGACCAACCUGCCCCAUGCUCCAGAAUAGCUCUUGGAAACGGGUGGUAAUGCUGGAUGCUCCAACUUGACGCAUGUCUUGUUGGGAAAGUGUUUAGUGGCAUGGGAUGGGGUCGCGUCCUAUCAGCUUGUAGGCGGGGUAAUGGCCCACCUAGGCUUCGACGGGUAGCCGGCCUGAGAGGGCGGACGGCCACAUUUGGACUGAGAUACGGCCCAGACUCCUACGGGAGGCAGCAGAC
This 252-nucleotide ribosomal RNA is filed under the name uncultured Gardnerella sp. RNAcentral's name for it is "partial 16S ribosomal RNA". It matches the Rfam family "Bacterial small subunit ribosomal RNA", at positions 100 to 354 of the family's 1533-position model. Lineage: Bacteria; Bacillati; Actinomycetota; Actinomycetes; Bifidobacteriales; Bifidobacteriaceae. The record is from RNAcentral.